Molecule: ribosomal RNA, 448 nt
Filed under: uncultured bacterium
Lineage: Bacteria
Description: bacterial SSU rRNA
Rfam family: Bacterial small subunit ribosomal RNA
Source: RNAcentral
AGCGAACGCUGGCGGCAGGCUUAACACAUGCAAGUCGAGCGGGCGUAGCAAUACGUCAGCGGCAGACGGGUGAGUAACGCGUGGGAACAUACCUUUUGGUUCGGAACAACACAGGGAAACUUGUGCUAAUACCGGAUAAGCCCUUACGGGGAAAGAUUUAUCGCCGAAAGAUUGGCCCGCGUCUGAUUAGCUAGUUGGUGAGGUAACGGCUCACCAAGGCGACGAUCAGUAGCUGGCUGAGAGGAUGAUCAGCCACAUUGGGACUGAGACACGGCCCAAACUCCUACGGGAGGCAGCAGUGGGGAAUAUUGGACAAUGGGCGAAAGCCUGAUCCAGCCAUGCCGCGUGAGUGAUGAAGGCCCUAGGGUUGUAAAGCUCUUUUGUGCGGGAAGGUAAUGACGGUACCGCAAGAAUAAGCCCCGGCUAACUUCGUGCCAGCCGCCGCCGU